Long non-coding RNA from Pezoporus flaviventris, 422 nucleotides. RefSeq lists it as uncharacterized. NCBI's taxonomy places the organism in Eukaryota, Metazoa, Chordata, Aves, Psittaciformes, Psittacidae. The transcript has 4 exons. The record is from RefSeq and is a predicted model, not a curated record.
GUAAUAUGCACUCUUGUUCUCUUUUUCUAUGGUUUACAGAGUAUUUAAUUAUUCUGUGGAGCAAAAUAGCUUCAACAGAGUGGAGAGUAGGAUGAAAAUCAGUCCUAACUAGAUGGUGACUUGGCUGAUACACUACUAUGUGGGAACAAGAAGGAAGAUGGCACUUUGUUGCUGUCUUGUGAAAGUUCUUCAAGAUGUCUACAGAUAAAAAAGCUUGUACAGAUAACUGCUUUCACAACACUGAAGUGGCUAUCUGUCUUCCACGCAGUUUGGAUCACAUCAUUUUAACUGCAAAGUCCACCCUUUGGACUGAUAAGUCUGGCUACUUGAGGAUUUUGGAAGUUCCAUUUCAGAAACUGAUUUUCAGUGUAUGAACAUAAUAGUAACUACAUUGGCACAAGCCAAAGGUCUUUCUAAGGCAG